This 114-nucleotide non-coding RNA is filed under the name uncultured eukaryote. The record is from RNAcentral.
UUCUUUUUCUCUUUCUCUUUCUUCCUUUUUCUUCCUUUUUCUUAGAGUGCUUGGGAUAAUCCAUUUUUAAAAUUAUGUCUCGUCGGAAAGUCUACGACGAUGAUGACGUAAAGA